AUUAAAUAGCUUGCUGAAUUACACAAAAUAGAACAUGAUAAAAAAGGAAAGGAAUCCCUGCGCAAGAUAGGGAGAUCCUUGUUUAAUAAGCAAAGAUAAAAGUAGAAACAAAUCUCAACCUAACUAAUACUUGCCUAAAUCAAAUUUAGAAACAAAUAAUUAACAAAA
This is a long non-coding RNA of Telopea speciosissima, 168 nucleotides long. RefSeq lists it as uncharacterized. Lineage: Eukaryota; Viridiplantae; Streptophyta; Magnoliopsida; Proteales; Proteaceae. The record is from RefSeq and is a predicted model, not a curated record. The transcript has 3 exons.